UUAUCGAGUUUGAACGACGUCUGCGGGUCAAUUCUUAGUUCCCAAGAGGUUUAGGUUUGUUGUACCUGUCGUUCGGCCUGCACGGAGGUGACUUUUGAUUAAGUCUACUGGCAGGUUGCAUACAACGUGGUGGUCUACAGAGUCGUAGCGGAAGACUGCUACACUACGUAUGACUACACGGCUGGCUUUUCAAGACUGCGGCCCUUCUUUCCACGUCGUCGAUUUCGAUGUUCAGUAAGGUGUGGCGGCGACUUCCAUAGUUCGUCGUGUUUUGUUUUGUUGGGUUGGAUCUGUUCCAAGGUUUAAUAAGAGUCGCCACUUAAGUCCUAAGUGUAUAUAUAAAAUUAGGAGAGCACACCUACCUACUUCUUCUUCUUGUUCCACUAUGCAUAUGACUUAUGAGAUUAUCACACAUUCUUCAAUUCUCCACCUUGUCUUUAUACAUAGUUAGAUAACGUACAAAUAUCAAACAUGAAGGAAACCACCUAAACAAGUGACGGAAUUCAACCAUACAACCAUAACAUAACUUAAGUGUACAUGAUUAUUUAAACCUAACAUGACUCAAAUAGAAGAAAAAACGGUACCUUAAUUAACAUACAAAAAGAAGAGUUUGAACACUUAAAAUAGAACUCGGUCAGUUAUGUAUUUAAAAUAUUCGGGGAGUAGUCUAUUUGUUCAUUAGAUAGUGUAACUGGAGUUUGUUUAACUUAUGUAAAAGUACCUUUAAAUACAUCAUUAUGUUUGUAAAACCCCCCAACCCUUUUUAUUGUCCACUGGGUACCACCCUGGUCGAUGGUUAAUAUGAUCAGUUUUAUUGUGGACCUUAAUAAGUUUCCUUAAAGUUUAAACGGUUUUACAUAGAUUUAAAUUCCUUAAGCUCGUUUGAAAGAUUAAUAAAAAAAACAUUUAUGUCCAGCAAAAAGAAGAGAUCCCCCUUCACCCUGUACAUCUCGACCAAUGACCUCUUAUGCGGUUCACUUUUUAGAGAUUCAUUAUGUUGUUCUUUAAGGAACGUGUUACGUGCGUAUACGGUACAGCGUGACAAACACUCACCGAGAAAGUACGACUGCCUACCCAGGCACUCCAGCCCGUUCCUAAGAGCCCUUGAGACGGUCUUCCUAAUAAAAACGAAGUAUAACUAUAAACAAGCAGACAUGGCUUCGAGAGGAAUUAAUAUUCCUCGGUUAAUCGCUCUUGUGUUGAUUGAGUGGUGUAUUUACUCAAUCUUUCAACUUGACCCUAGCUAAAUUACUUUAUUACUAACGGCCACUAUCUCGUUAUAAUAGCAACGGAACCAAUGUCAUCUUUUUGUCCGUACGUAUAGUCAU
This 1328-nucleotide ribosomal RNA is filed under the name Triticum aestivum (bread wheat). RNAcentral's name for it is "partial small subunit ribosomal RNA". The record is from RNAcentral. Lineage: Eukaryota; Viridiplantae; Streptophyta; Magnoliopsida; Poales; Poaceae.